UUUAUCGAAGGUUCUAUGACACAAUAGUUUUGGUCAUCCAAGGUUCAUUUUAAAAAUUAUAGCCAGUCUCAAAGCACUUAGUACAGACUGAAACCCUUUAAUAGGCAUCCCAGACUACUUGCGAAUGAAAAGCUUCUGAGCCAAAGCCAACCUGAGUGGCUUUGGUCCUUCUGUUUCAGAAUCAGACUAGCAGAGAGAAGGGCAUAAACUUAUGGAGCAGAGAACUGUCUUGGGUGCUCUGCACUCUGGUGAGGGUAGCCCAGCCAUCCACUUGCCUGAGAAUGGUACCUGGCCCCGCCCUGAAGUACAACCAUGAAGAUGAAGUACCACCCUCAGGAAGCCUGUGACCCACACCUGAUACUUUAGAAGUUGACCAUGUAUAAACCAAGAAAGAGAUUGUGGUGAGGACACAAGAAGGCAGCCAUCUGCAAGCCUGGAAGAGAACCUUCACCAGACUCCAAGCAUGCUGACACCCUGACCUUAGACUUCCAAGUUUUCAGAACCAUGAGAAAAUGAAUGCUUGCUGUUUAAAGCACCCAGUGUAUGGAUUUUAUUAUGGCAACUCAAGAAGACUAAGACAUAAACAAAAAUGUAUUUUAGUUAAUACAAUACGUGUAGAUGUACAUAUGUGAAUUUGAAAAUUAACUAAGAUGUGUGAGUUAGCUGCCUUGCUCAGGCAUCUGACAGAUCCCUCUGCCAAGGUGGAUCUCAAUACAUGAAGAUCUGAGAUGACAUCUGAACUAUCUGAAAGACAGUGUGCCUCCAAAAUGGGUUUUCAUGUAAUCUGUGCUAAAAAUCCAAUUCCUGACAUCUAUUUUUUUAGAGUUCACUAUCAGUUUAUGAACGCAUUAUAAUAACCCUGGACUUGAACACUCAGAGCAGGUAAUAACUAGAAGGUUAGAAUAUGACUUAAUGAGGUCCCAUCCGCCCCAGAUCUUGAUGGGCUCUUGUGACCAGUACUUCUCUAGUUUGCCAGAUUUUAGGCCCUAAAAAUGACAGUAUUUUGCAGUGAAAUGAGACCCAAUUAAAGUUUAAUGAGUAGAUUUCAUUUCUGUCCUACAGUAACAUAGAAACAUGCUUGCUGGACUCUUUAGCACACCCUUCUGUACUUCCUUUUAAUAUUGAUGCUAGCCCUCCAGAGCCCAGCACAUGCAAGUGGACACAGUUAAAGAAUAUUCUUAAUGGAAAUGUCAGGGACAAGGUGAAAGGAAAGAAGUCUAGACACCAUCCAUUUCCUCAGAUCAAUUGAAAAAAAAUUUAAAGUGUACCCCACAUCAGAAAUUAUAUUAGGGAACUUAAUGCCAUGGCUUCCUUGGUAGAUGAUUGUAAUAUAAACAUCUAGCAUUUGGCUACAUCUAUUAUGUCCUAAUUUAUUCCAAUUAAGGGAUGUAAAAUAAGUCAAAUGACCUCUUUCUUUCUCUGCUUCUCUCUUUUUUAAAGUCCUAUAGUCAUAACGCGCAAUAAAAGAUCUUGAUAAUGAUGAGUUAAAGUGUUUUAAAUACUUCUGUAAAAAAAAUUUCUGUAAAAUUUAAGUAUUUUAAAUACUCCAAAGCCAAAAUGGGAUAACAACAUAUUCUUUAUUAUUGUUCAGUUAUGUUAUAUGUUAUGAAUAAAU
This is a long non-coding RNA of Ictidomys tridecemlineatus (thirteen-lined ground squirrel), 1615 nucleotides long. RefSeq lists it as uncharacterized. The record is from RefSeq and is a predicted model, not a curated record. Lineage: Eukaryota; Metazoa; Chordata; Mammalia; Rodentia; Sciuridae.